ACGCUCGACACCUACGGGUGGCAGCAGUGGGGAAUAUUGCACAAUGGGGGAAACCCUGAUGCAGCGACGCCGCGUGGAGGAAGAAGGUCUUCGGAUUGUAAACUCCUGUUGUUGGGGAAAAAGNGGAUGGUACCCAACAAGGAAGUGACGGCUAACUACGUGCCAGCAGCCGCGGUAAUCUGAGGCGGGCGUGGCAAGGC
Molecule: ribosomal RNA, 200 nt
Filed under: uncultured bacterium
Lineage: Bacteria
Description: partial 16S ribosomal RNA
Rfam family: Bacterial small subunit ribosomal RNA
Source: RNAcentral